Molecule: ribosomal RNA, 253 nt
Filed under: uncultured bacterium
Lineage: Bacteria
Description: partial 16S ribosomal RNA
Rfam family: Bacterial small subunit ribosomal RNA
Source: RNAcentral
UACGUAGGGGGCAAGCGUUGUCCGGAUUUAUUGGGCGUAAAGAGCGUGUAGGCGGCCAGACAGGUCCGUUGUGAAAACUCGAGGCUCAACCUCGAGACGCCGAUGGAAACCGUCUGGCUAGAGUCCGGAAGAGGAGAGUGGAAUUCCUGGUGUAGCGGUGAAAUGCGCAGAUAUCAGGAAGAACACCCGUGGCUAAGGCGGCUCUCUAGUACGGUACUGACGCUGAGACGCGAAGGCGUGGGGAGCGAACAGG